Non-coding RNA from Cinara cedri, 1154 nucleotides. Lineage: Eukaryota; Metazoa; Arthropoda; Insecta; Hemiptera; Aphididae. The record is from the annotation of a GenBank genome assembly.
GGAACGUGUGCCGAAUGCGCGUGUAAUAGGUACUUGAAUAUUAUAUAUCGUUUAUGUACACUCAUAGUUGUAAUAUACGCAAUAUACCAACAUUAGGAUUAUUUUAUAAUAAUAAAAUUAUGUGCUCGAGUGUAAAAUAUCGUACGCGCAUUACGUAUAAUUUACUUAUUUAUUACUAUUAUUUUUAUACAGAGUGGUCCAGCGAUUUUCUCGUAGGAAUUCAUAUAGUUAUUUUGAUUUGAGUUUUGUGUUGUUUUUUUUAUUUUUCAGUCGUUACGGAAUCCUUUGCAGAACAUUUUUUUGAAAAUAGUGUUAAAAUAAAGCUUUAAUUAUUCUGUAACGAUAAAAAAAAAACAGUAAUCGACUUCAUUUAAAAUCCUCCACAAAAAUCUGUGAAAAAUGGAUCGCCCUGUAUAUUAUACGUAUUCGAGCUUAACUGCAACGAUAAUAUUAUUGUGCUGUACUUCUUGUUGUCUGGCGCACGUGACGGGCUCCCUUCUAUAAAGACAAUCACUCAUAAUACAAAUUUACUAUCCACUGCAGGGAUGUAAAGAAGUCAUUGAGGCUGAUUGAGGUUCUCAUUAACCAGUAUUUAUUUAUUUUGGUAAUAAAACUGUUUAUCGAUCGAUUUCAUUUCUAUGUCGAUAAUUUGGUUAAUUGUGAUAUUAAGUAAAUUCCGUUUAGUUGAUUUGGGGGUAAGUAUAGGAGGCAUUCUUACUUUCUAGCUUACAUUUUCUUCACCUCCCAAGUUUCGCGCCUUCUCGACUAUCGUUUGUUUUUAAAGCUAUAUGACUGUGCGUUCAACGCACUAAAAGCUAUAAAAAAUGCAUUUUAAAUUUCAAAAAGUGGCUCAUUAUUAGUAGCAUAUAUGUAUGUAUAUAUGUAUAUAUAUAUAUAUAUAUAUAUGUUAUAGAUGUACAGCAGUGGCGCGUACACAUAACUUUUAUAUUGUGCAGGAGGCAACACAUUUUCUUGCGAGGAAAUUUUUUAAACCUUCAUGUAAAAUUAUGCAUAUUAUAUGUAAAAAGAUGGAUAUACUUAGCACGAUGGGUAGGCCCCAGUCGUAGAUCAAAAAUUGGGAAGGUAGAGGGGAAAUUGAAUGUAUAUAUGUAUAUACGCAACGAUUAACCAUUGCUAACGAAAAACAAUUCUAA